GCAGAAAUCUUAUUAAAUAUAGUUUCAUGGAUAGCACAAUAUAGUAUGUUCAUAGCAUUAGCAUUCAAUUGUGCUAAGUCUUUUUCAUUAACAGUUUGAGAGAGUGUGUGAAGGUCAUUUAUUAUGAUAUUUCAUAAAUCAUAGUUUUGUGAUUGAAUAAAAAUGUGCAUGCGUGCUUUCCAAUAUGUGUAGUUUAUGCCAUUAAAUAGUGGAGGUCUAUCAAUUAAUUGUCCCUCUUCUAGAAAACUAUCUAUUUGAGUUGUCAUGAUCUUUGGCUCUUGAUCGUGAGAUCAACAAUUAACUUUAGAGCACCUGCUCUGAUACCACUUGUUGCCCAAGAUGACAACCCAA
RNAcentral lists this long non-coding RNA (351 nucleotides) under Phoenix dactylifera (date palm). RNAcentral describes it as "long non-coding RNA (PDAC_LNC001989)". Lineage: Eukaryota; Viridiplantae; Streptophyta; Magnoliopsida; Arecales; Arecaceae. The record is from RNAcentral.